This 956-nucleotide long non-coding RNA is filed under the name Salvia miltiorrhiza (redroot sage). RNAcentral describes it as "long non-coding RNA (SMIL_LNC004652)". Lineage: Eukaryota; Viridiplantae; Streptophyta; Magnoliopsida; Lamiales; Lamiaceae. The record is from RNAcentral.
CAGAUGAAAAUUCGUGCACAGUUCAUCCAAUUUGUACACAGUUAAUUCAAAGACCAAUCUACCCUCAACGACAAUUCCCCAAUCUUCGUCACACACAGUCACCUCCACCAACAGCAACAAAAACAAGAAGAAGAACAGUGUAAUAAUCAGAUAUCAAUUAAAUUUCGUAAUUCCUUUUCCAAUAAAAUAAAAUAUUAAAGUGGAAAAAGGUGGAAUAAAGAAGAAGAGGGAGAUACUUUCUGUUUCUUGAAUCAGUCAGAGCUCUCCAACAAAUCAACCCUCACCUUCCCCCAGUUGCAUUCCACUUAAUUUAAAACGGAGACUUUUCAAUUUCCACUAGCUUUGAACUUUUAAAAACUUGAAAUACAAAAAGAGAUCCAAACAUUCUUCAGGGAAAUCAAGCCAUCAAUUCAGAAGAUGAGCACCGGGGUUUAAUUACUUACCAAAUAUAAACCACUCCACGAAAUCUGGCGCACAGAAUGGAGAAAAAAGGCGAUUGAUUGGUACAGCAAAAUGAGAAAUAAAGGAAGAUUAACAGUAUCACAGUACAAUCAAUUAGGAGAGAGAGAGGAUAAUGAAAUCUAAUAAGAAAUAGAGGGACUCGUCGCCGCUGGGAGCCUUCUUCGUCGCCGUCGUUCGCUGGAGUCUUCUUCACCGCCGACGCCGUUCGCUGGAGUCGCCGUCGCUUCGCUUUUCGCUGGAGUCGUCGUUGCCUUCGCUGUUCGCCGGAAGCCGUCGCUGGAAGCCGCAGGGAGUAGUGGUCGCAGGAAGCCGCCGCGUCGCCGGUGGUGGAUGUGAGGAAGAAGAAGAAGAGCACGAGAAUUUGAAAUGAAGAAGAAACCGUUCAGUUCAUGUUUUAAUUAGCGCUCUUUUUUCUUUUCUUUUUUUAAUUGUUAAUGCAAAUUUCAGUUUUUUUAAUUGUUAAGUCAAAUUCCAGAUUUUUAUUUUGUUGUAUU